GACGAACGCUGGCGGCGUGCUUAACACAUGCAAGUCGAACGGAAAGGCCCUGCUUUUGUGGGGUGCUCGAGUGGCGAACGGGUGAGUAACACGUGAGUAACCUGCCCUUGACUUUGGGAUAACUUCAGGAAACUGGGGCUAAUACCGGAUAGGAGCUCCUGCUGCAUGGUGGGGGUUGGAAAGUUUCGGCGGUUGGGGAUGGACUCGCGGCUUAUCAGCUUGUUGGUGGGGUAGUGGCUUACCAAGGCUUUGACGGGUAGCCGGCCUGAGAGGGUGACCGGCCACAUUGGGACUGAGAUACGGCCCAGACUCCUACGGGAGGCAGCAGUGGGGAGUAUUGCACAAUGGGCGGAAGCCUGAUGCAGCAACGCCGCGUGCGGGAUGACGGCCUUCGGGUUGUAAACCGCUUUCGCCUGUGACGAAGCGUGAGUGACGGUAAUGGGUAAAGAGGCACCGGCUAACUACGUG
Molecule: ribosomal RNA, 468 nt
Filed under: uncultured bacterium
Lineage: Bacteria
Description: partial 16S ribosomal RNA
Rfam family: Bacterial small subunit ribosomal RNA
Source: RNAcentral